AUCAGAAAAUUGCAGGCAAGAAAAGAAAAGAUUCUGGAAAGAGAAAAGCUCCUGUAAGUGACACUUCCUUGAAUAGUUGGUGGGAAAUCAAAAUUCCACAACAAAUCUGCUUCAACUCUACAAAUAAAAUUAAUAUAAGUGCAUAAAUAACUUGCUAUGCACAUAUCAACGUAAUCAACAAGCAACAGACUCUUAAUCACAACUGCCAUUAAGAUUUGUAGUGAAAGAUAAGAAUAGAGAGAUAAUUGCAAUCAGAAAACUUACUGAGUAGAAAUAAAUUAUAGUCGAUUUUAAAAAGAUAAUAAAAGAAAUGUUCAUCAGAAGUUUACUGUAGCAUGAGAAGCCACCAAAACAUGAGACCAAACUACAUCUUCCUCUCUUUAUCCCUUAUCACUGCUUUUCUCAAGUGUGAAACUCAAUUCCUUUUCCCUUGUUGGCUUUGUUUAUAGGAACAAAUGUAGAUCUAAACCUACCAUCAGCUUCAGAUAGUGUCUCUGAAAGAGAAAGCUCACUCAAAGACUCAGAAGUCCUUUUUAUUCCAUGCUACCAUAUCAUCACUUGUAUUUCUGUCCUAGAGUAUGUUUCCUUGCAACUUUUCGAAAUUCUUUUUCUAGUACACAACUUUCAUAUUCACUCUUUAGCUUUAUUUUUGUUUUUGGAAGAGCUUUCCUCACUCCAUAAGAAUAUCCCUGUUGCUUGUUUCUGUUUGUCUUCUUUCCACCCAAACUCCCCAGUAUUGAUACCCUAUAGGUUUUGAUACUCCUUCUUCUAUCUCUCCUCCCCAUACUCCUCUCAGAUUUAUGCUUCCAGGCCCUAGCUGAAAAAGUUAAAACAUGCUCCAAAAACAUACCCAAAGUCACCUUUCCUUUCCUUUCCUUUCCUUUCCUUUCCUUUCCUUUCCUUUCCUUUCCUUUCCUUUCCUUUCCUUUCCUUUCCUUUCCUUUCCUUUCCUUUCCUUUCCUUUCCUUUCCUUUCCUUUCCUUUCCUUUCCUUUCCUUUCCUUUCCUUUCCUUUCCUUUCCUUUCCUUUCCUUUCCUUUCCUUUCCUUUCCUUUCC
This 1056-nucleotide long non-coding RNA is filed under the name Strigops habroptila (Kakapo). RNAcentral's name for it is "lncRNA (ENSSHBG00005017313.1)". The record is from RNAcentral. Lineage: Eukaryota; Metazoa; Chordata; Aves; Psittaciformes; Psittacidae.